This is a non-coding RNA of Phrynosoma platyrhinos (Desert horned lizard), 68 nucleotides long. NCBI's taxonomy places the organism in Eukaryota, Metazoa, Chordata, Lepidosauria, Squamata, Phrynosomatidae. The record is from the annotation of a GenBank genome assembly.
GUGUAGUAUAGUGGAUUGAACGCUGGACUGUAACUCUGGAGACCAGGGUUCGAAUCCUGGCUGGAUCA